ACCUACAGGCUUGAGUGAAGUGAAGAAUUAAGGCUAUUAUCUGUAUAAUUCAAACCCAAACCUACCUUUCUGUGAAUUUAUAGGACAAUUUAGGUCCUAGCUGAAUAAUUCAGAAAAAGAUAAUCACCUCAAUUAUUUAGAUGGCCAUCUCAUCCCCUUAUAUAUUCCAUCUCUCUAACUCUGAGGUGGAAAGUUGACAGCAAUUAAAUCUCUCAACCGCACUGCCCAUAGGAGGCCACUGAAUUUGGACCAAUGUGGUGCCCCAAACGGGAAGAGUGGAAACAGACCCAGAUAAGCCAAUGCAUAUGGAAGACAUUUGUCCUAAAUCAAGGUAAGAGGUGCUCACCCGUCUGACCAAGGUUCCAAACUAUAGACUCAAGAAAAGGCUUGGAAGUUAUCAUCCCAAGCCAGUUUGCUCUAGACCCUGUGAGCUUGUCACUGAUUGGGUACAGGAGGACUCAGCACCCUUCUCGGGCAGUGUCCCUCCUCGCCCAUCAAUUCUGGUCCUGCUGAGUUUGCAGAAGAACCUCAUUUCCUGGCCCUGUCCGAGUGGAGGGCAGGGCGUGGGAAGUUGUGCAUCUGAGACAGGUCAGCCAGCCGCAUGGGGAAUGGCACCACUUACAUUUACAUGGGGCUGAUGGAGAGCCUGUGAGAAGAUACCUGAUGAGGUCAGCAGGGCUCAAGAGGAAAGUGGUCCCUUUCCAGGAUGACUCUGGGACAAUGGGGAGGCCCUACUGGCUGGCCUGGCUUUGGCUGUUUCUGUCUGGGUGGCACCUCUAGGUCCCCGCAAGUCUCUGCAUGUUCGUGUGCACGUGGCUUUCUGUGUACAGACGCAGGGUGCCAGCCUGUCCAGGCUGGUGGGUUCAGCUUUCCUUUGUGCUAACAUUAAUCUGCCUGGCCCCAUCCCCCAGCCUCUCGCUGCACAUUAACCUAAAAUAUGAGCGCAUGCUCGGGUCUUGCCUGUGUUGGCCGCCCCCGAGCCCACAGCAUCCCUGCCCCCUCCUCCAGCCCUCUUAUCUAAAGCAGCGUGUCACUGCAAUUUUAUGGUCAACAUUACAGACUCAAGCCCUCCUUUGAACCAAUCAAACUGCACUGAAUAUGUUAAGGGAAUCCAGGCUUUCUGGAAGGAGCCUGCGUCCUGAGCCGCACUGCCUGACCUCUCUAAGAGCAGCCCCCAUAAAUCUGCCUCACGUGAUGGGAGAUGGGCUUUUCAGGAUCUCUCAGGGUGCUUUGAGGUAGCACUUCUAUGAACUCCUUGCCACAAUAAAUAAUGCUACCUGCAAUAUGUCUUUGCGAGUGUGUCAGCAGCUGCUGUCCUGCCAUGAAUUUUUAUUCUUGUGCCGUCUGGAAGAUAGAUUCCAGAUUCAGCAUUUCCCCGCACUUAGUGUCAGAUCUCUUUACCCCCUUGCCCCAGCAGAAUGACAGAGACCACAAAUAAAAUAAAAAAAAUUAAAAAAACAGCCUAGAAAAAAAUGGCCCAAGACCAGAGGGAAACAACCACGCUCACCUCACUACAGGAGAGAGAGCCUCCUGUGUGAUGGCAAUGACUAGGUGGGAGGAAGGAUGAAAAGCCAGGCAAUUCAGAGUCCUCAGAAAGUAAGCAAUUCACCUGGGCUGGCUGGAGAAAGGGGGUUUCUACCAGGUAAAGCUGUUGGAUGAGAGGAAAGCCCAUUUUGAGUCAAUAAACCAUUAUAAAGGAAAGCAAUAGAAAUCUGUUUUCAAACCUCAGUUAGAUAGUUAUUGCACUGGUCGGAUGCUAGGCAAUUGGUCCAUGAAACGAGGGCAAUGGAUUCCGAAAUAGCGUGGUGAUUGGUGAUGACAUCCAAGAUAAGUUGCUGUGGUCUGAGAGCUAAAGAGGAGGAAGGAAGCUACUACCAUAGCUUCAGAACAGCAAUAAGUGGAUUCCCAAAUUUCACAGACACGCGUGUCUCUGCCGAUCUAGACACAAGUGUCCGCACAGCUGGGUAUGUUUUACUAGUCGUCAUUGCUGCAACUUCAGAUCUUCUGAAGCUAAAACUCAGCACCGUGAUGCCAAGGCAUUUCCCCUUCUUUGAAAUGUUCCAAGUCCCAGGAAACUUCUGCAUGACUGAUGUGCCAGCCAUAUCCAUUACGGUGGGAGACAGCACAGGGAAGGAAGAAAGAAAAUAUGGCUUUGAUAUGUUAACAUCGCACAAAGGCAGAUUAUUUCAUUUUCCAUGCUGCUUCCUCUUCAGAGAGGGUCAGAUUCAGUCGGUGUCCUGGCAGGAAUCACACAGAUGAAGCUCCUGUGUAUACACAAUCCCAGUCUCAUAACUGAACCCACAAUGUCGGCCGACUUCCAGAUCAGCGUUUUGCCAAAUGUGAAGUGUGUACGCAUCACCUGGGGAUCUUAAAACACAGACUGUGGUCCAGCAAGUUUUGGGCUGGGGGCUGAGAGUCUGCAUUUCUAACAAGCUCCCAGGUGCUGCUGACACUGUUGGGCCAUCUAUCUGGGCCAACGAAGCUUCUGGGUUUAGCAGUGAUGAGCUUGCUAGGCUCCACACAAGGGAACCUCUUGGUUUAUGCAGAAUGUCAGCCUUAAUUGGUGGCCUCCUAGUGUCCUGCCCUGUGUCAAUGCCGCAUUAUCUCUAGCCUCCCAGGGCCAUGGGUCAGUUUCAUAGUAUGGUGGGUCCUGAGAGAAGGGUAUGGAGUUAGGUGGGGACUACAAGGAAAUCUCUGCUGAUCAAGUGGCCAACAACCAACUGGGAUGUGGGACCAUGGGCUCCCUUGACACACUCUGGUUCCUCUCUAAGACAACAAGGACAGCAAGAUUACAAAACUGCCAACCUAGAAUGGAGGAUGUGGUCAGCAACGUCCUUGCCAAAUGCACUUUUGAUGGAAAAUUAAAGUUUCUUGGGGUGAAUAUAGUCUUUGAAGUAAUAAGUAUGGAAGCUUCUCUGACAUCCCACCAUGCUCAAAUAAAGUGGCUGAGUGUAAGCAAUUCCUGCCUGUCAAAUCAUCUGAGGCCAAGCAUGAUCACUCAUUUGUAAACUGGGCUUUCUGCCUGCUGAAUACCUUUUAAAAACAGAAGCUCUCUCCUAAUUGCCUGGGUUGACCUAUAUUUAGAAACCUGAAGCAUGCUGGUGUCAUGGAGAAGCCAGAAAAACAUUGGAGUUAAUCACUAAAUCAAUCUGGGCUGACCCUGAGAGGAGCACCAAAGGUUGUUGGUCAAGGAGCUUUCGGAGGCUGGACUUAAAAGAACUCUCUUGUUUCUCUGAAACUUGGAAAAGCUGUUUCUUUCUGCAAAGACAUAUGCUCAGAAUAGAAUCUGGUCUGUUCUAGGACAGCCCUUUGAAUCUCAUGCCAGUAACCAGCUCAAGAGUAACUUCACUGGGUUUGGGGGUCCUCUCUGGGCUCCUCUCUGACCUCCAAGGUGGAGAUGGAAUCACUGGAACAGAUGGAAUCACUGGAACAAUAUGCUCAUGGCCAAGAGAAACAAGCCAUGAGAUCCUUUUCUUCCCUUCUCGUCUCGGCCAGCUCUCCUCCUCUUAGGGCAUCUUUCUGGUUUCUUAUUGUUCUGGUUUGUCAAAAUUCACAGUUUAGAUGGUUCCUUCAAUGAUUUUACUCCUAAUGCAGUGAUGAUCAUUUUUUAAAAGUUCACAGAAUUUGAAAAAAAUUGGGGACACGACAAGAAUUAUGACACAUUAUUUUUAGUUCACGUGAACAGUGAGGUGUCAUUUGGAUAUGGGUACAAGGUACGUAGAAAGUCAGUAAUUACCUCCAUGGAACACUGAACAGAAAAUUUAGGAAUCUCCUCGAUUCUGUAGAGCUGGUAUCCAUCCUCAAAUUUGCUGGCUCUUAUUUUUGCUAGAUGGUGGCUUGAUUUUGAUGCUGAAGGAUAUCAACACUGAAGGCAGGAGGGAGUAGAACCUAGGACCUUGAACCAUUUCCAGAUAAUUACUGAUCAUCUGAGUCCUGCAGAAAAUACUCGUUAGAUAGACGGGUGAUGGAAAAACAUGGUACAUUUUUUAAGAUUUAGGUUUGGAUAUCUAGCUAGUUAAUGCUAAGGUUAAAUUAAGAUAUCUGAAUGACAUACAAAUAUAUUUUUAAUUCUUGCAUCGAAUUUUGGAGAGCUAGAGAUGUUAAGUAACGUUGGAACAGAAUAAAUUAUACAUUUAUCAUCAGCUAUUUAUGGACUAUUUAAGACUCAUUUUUGAGGAGAUAAACAUGUAUAAGACAUCUUUACCUUCAGGAAAUUUAUAUUCUAAUUGUUGGAAUGAGACUAAGUCACUAAAACAAUUAGAAGUACAUACAUAUAUAAAUUAAGGGCCAAAGGAUAUGACAUGAUGUUAUGUGAUAUACAUAAUAAUAAGAGUUUGUGGAAGUAGGGUAUUUAUUUUUACUUAUUUAUUUAUAUAUUUAUUUUUGCCUUUUGUCUUUUUUUUUUUUUUUUUUUUUUUUNAUAUGGAGGUUCCCAGGCUAGGGGUCUGAUCAGAGCUAUUGUUGCCGGCCUAUGCUACAGCCACAGCAAUGCCAGAUCUGAGCCAUGUCUUCAACCUACAACACAGCUCAUGGCAAUGCUGGAUCCUUAACCCACUGAGCGAGGCCAGGUAUUGAGCCGCCAACCUCACAGUUCCUAGUUGGAUUCGUUUCCACUGCACCGCAAUGGGAACUCCGAGAAGUAGGAUAUUGAUGAGAGACUUAGAACCAUAGAAAGGCUCUUGAUGGUAGCAUUUGUGUAGGGAACAGGACAGACAUUCCAAGGAACUGAAACGAUACAGAGAAGCCAUGAAGUUCAGCAGAUGCUCAGGGGUAGCAGCAAGACUUGGCCUCGCAGCAGAAGGGGCCUGUCAGGGGACUGUAGGAAUCAAGUUGGAUGGUCUGGGAAGGGACAGGUUAGAAGGAUGUUCACACUUGAUUAUGGAAAUGAAGACACCGAAAGUUAUUUUUAAACAGAGGAGUCCUAUAAUGGGAACAGAUUUUGGCCAACCAGGGAAGGUGCCCUAAACUCUCAAACAUGUGGUCACAGGAAGCUGGGAAAUAACACAGCCUUGGAGAAGAGGAAGCUAGGCUGAUUCAACUUGAUCCAUUAAGAAAACAGUACUUCAUAGAGGGCCAAGAUGAUUGCAACUGUCUCCUGGCCCUGAUCCCCUUCAAUGGGUCUCUGAUCUAUAAGGAUCCGGAAAGUUGU
This 5149-nucleotide long non-coding RNA is filed under the name Sus scrofa (pig). RNAcentral describes it as "lncRNA (ENSSSCG00055016199.1)". Lineage: Eukaryota; Metazoa; Chordata; Mammalia; Artiodactyla; Suidae. The record is from RNAcentral.